GCUUAGAGAGGGGUCAAUGUCCUAUCAGCUAGUUGGUAGGGUAAUAGCCUACCAAGGCUAAGACGGGUAGCCGGCCUGAGAGGGUGGUCGGCCACACUGGGACUGAGACACUGCCCAGACUCCUACGGGAGGCUGCAGUCGAGAAUCUUUCGCAAUGCCCGAAAGGGUGACGAAGCGACGCCGCGUGUGGGAAGAAGGCCUUCGGGUUGUAAACCACUGUCGGGAGUUAAGAAAUGCAAGGGUGUUAAUAGCAUCCUUGCUUGACUAAGGCUCCGGAGGAAGCCACGGCUAACUCUGUGCCAGCAGCCGCGGUAAUACAGAGGCGGCAAGCGUUGUUCGGAAUUAUUGGGCGUAAAGAGCACGUAGGCGGCUUUGUAAGUCAGUUGUGAAAGCCUUCUGCUCAACGGAAGAACAGCAUCUGAUACUGCAAGGCUAGAGUGCGGAAGGG
Molecule: ribosomal RNA, 448 nt
Filed under: uncultured Planctomycetota bacterium
Lineage: Bacteria; Pseudomonadati; Planctomycetota
Description: bacterial SSU rRNA
Rfam family: Bacterial small subunit ribosomal RNA
Source: RNAcentral